This 111-nucleotide ribosomal RNA is filed under the name Periophthalmus magnuspinnatus. Lineage: Eukaryota; Metazoa; Chordata; Actinopteri; Gobiiformes; Gobiidae. The record is from RNAcentral.
GGAAAAAUAUACCUUUUAAGUAUGACCUAUCUUUGAUCUCUGAAGCUAAGCCGGUUUGGGCCUGGUCAGUAUUUGGAUGGGAGACCGCUGGACCACCAGGUGUUGUGUCCU